AGGUGAUAUGAACCGUUAUAACCGGCGAUACCCGAAUGGGGAAACCCAGUGUGACUCGUCACACUAUCAUUAACUGAAUCCAUAGGUUAAUGAGGCGAACCGGGGGAACUGAAACAUCUAAGUACCCCGAGGAAAAGAAAUCAACCGAGAUUCCCCCAGUAGCGGCGAGCGAACGGGGAGGAGCCCAGAGCCUGAAUCAGCAUGUGUGUUAGUGGAAGCGUCUGGAAAGGCGCGCGAUACAGGGUGACAGCCCCGUACACAAAAGCGCAUGUGCUGUGAGCUCGAUGAGUAGGGCGGGACACGUGGUAUCCUGUCUGAAUAUGGGGGGACCAUCCUCCAAGGCUAAAUACUCCUGACUGACCGAUAGUGAACCAGUACCGUGAGGGAAAGGCGAAAAGAACCCCGGCGAGGGGAGUGAAAAAGAACCUGAAACCGUGUACGUACAAGCAGUGGGAGCACAGGUUUACCUGUGUGACUGCGUACCUUUUGUAUAAUGGGUC
Molecule: ribosomal RNA, 500 nt
Filed under: Salmonella enterica
Lineage: Bacteria; Pseudomonadati; Pseudomonadota; Gammaproteobacteria; Enterobacterales; Enterobacteriaceae
Description: partial 23S ribosomal RNA
Rfam family: Bacterial large subunit ribosomal RNA
Source: RNAcentral